CGCUCCACCGGGCCGGGCGCGUGCGGCCGCCGAGCACAUGGGCCCUCGGGCCGUGCGCGCUCCGGGCGGCCCAGACCCGGAGGAGCAGCAGGGGCCGCGAGCGGGGAUGGGCCCUGGUACCCCUCGGCACCCCCCGAGUGGAGCUCCACGCGGAAAGGAUGUUGGCGGCCCCAGUGAUACGGCUUGGAUCGACCUUCCAGCCUGAUCUUUUGACCAGAAAGGAAUGAAAAGGAUACCCUUCCUGAUUGAUGGCCACACCUGUCUGUUGCAUGGAGCCUCAUCCAAGGAUUUUGAGCCAUGUGGAUUUACAGUGAUAUCCAGCUGCCCAGGGAAUAACACUGGUGGAGGAAGCUUCCCUGGAAUUAUGCACACCUGGCACGUUUCUGGAUGCUGAAAAUGGUGUUAAGGAAGGCGCUGGCUGAGUGCAUCAUGGAUUCCAGCAGCCUGGGUGCUGGAGGGAGAUGGAGGACCAAAGCUUCCUACGCAGGCUGAGCCCUUAUCUUGGACAGGAAUGUUUGGUUGGGUCUUUCCAGGACCCUGUGGGGGCUCCCUAGGAAAUCAAGGAGGAGGCCAACCGAGCAUUUGGACCCUUGGAUUUGGUGUCUAGAGCUCACACACAUGGUCCCGGCAUUGACCCUGCUCCUGCCCACAUGAGACGAUAAUCCUGUUAUACUUGGAAUGUAGGUGCCUUUAAUCUGAAAAACACAAAAAAGCACUUAUUCAUUCAGCACUCCAGAAGGAUAUGAGGACUGGCCUUCCCUGAACUAAAACUGUAAUACCUUGAGAUCUGGACAAUUCAGGUAAGAGAAUUUCUCCUCUUGAGCCUUAUGG
Pteronotus mesoamericanus is the source of this 831-nucleotide long non-coding RNA. RefSeq lists it as uncharacterized. The transcript has 4 exons. NCBI's taxonomy places the organism in Eukaryota, Metazoa, Chordata, Mammalia, Chiroptera, Mormoopidae. The record is from RefSeq and is a predicted model, not a curated record.